GCUAAUCGCUAAAAUUUUCUUAUAAAUUGCAUGCCAAUAAAACCCUUUCCUUCGUCGCCAAACUAGUAAUAGAUUGAGAAAACAAAGGAAUAUGUCUGAAGUGAAGAUACCAGUGUGUUUGUCUUCGCAAUCAUCUUCCUUAGCCUCGUUUUUAUCUCUACCCGCCGCGGCCCCAGCGGCCGUGGGGCGGUGAUUCCGGUGGAGAAAUCCUGCAUACAUGGCUGGUUUUGUGCUUAUGUCAAGCACCACAGUCGAGUGUUAAUGACGUGGCAUGCUGAGGUGGCAAAUAAAACUGCAGUGCUCAAUUUGUUACUAUAAUAAGGUGCUCUACUAUAAAUAUCCUUGUAUUCUCAGCAUUAUGUAGAUCAUAUUCGCAAUUCUCAGUUAAUAUAUAUAAUUUUUCUUUCAUCUCUCAGAUUUUCCUUUCCAUUUUCUCUCGGUCAUUUUCU
Molecule: long non-coding RNA, 449 nt
Filed under: Citrus maxima (pomelo)
Lineage: Eukaryota; Viridiplantae; Streptophyta; Magnoliopsida; Sapindales; Rutaceae
Description: long non-coding RNA (CMAX_LNC003098)
Source: RNAcentral